RNAcentral lists this transfer RNA (72 nucleotides) under Ictidomys tridecemlineatus (thirteen-lined ground squirrel). RNAcentral describes it as "Spermophilus tridecemlineatus (thirteen-lined ground squirrel) tRNA". It matches the Rfam family "tRNA". From Rfam's summary of the family: Transfer RNA (tRNA) molecules are approximately 80 nucleotides in length. Their secondary structure includes four short double-helical elements and three loops (D, anti-codon, and T loops). The record is from Rfam by way of RNAcentral. Lineage: Eukaryota; Metazoa; Chordata; Mammalia; Rodentia; Sciuridae.
GGGGGUGUAGCUCAGUGGUAGAGCACUGACUCAGCAUAUACAAAGCCUUGGGUUCAAUACCCAGUACUGUCU